Long non-coding RNA from Sander lucioperca (pikeperch), 337 nucleotides. RefSeq lists it as uncharacterized. NCBI's taxonomy places the organism in Eukaryota, Metazoa, Chordata, Actinopteri, Perciformes, Percidae. The transcript has 2 exons. The record is from RefSeq and is a predicted model, not a curated record.
CAUAGACAUCGAAGCGACAUCCAUACGAACUUCGAAGUAGCAAUUGUACACCAAAGGAAUGAUGCCCAUGUUCAUCAAAAGAUUAUAUUGAGAAAGGAGUUAGAAAUAUCCGGUUUACUAAUUGCCACAACUGUUCUCUGUAAACCUGGCAACAGUGUGAAAUGCAAUACAAAGCGUAUGCAAUACCGCCCCCUCUCCGGGAACCAAUACCUCAUCGUGGUGGAGAGGUUUGUGUGUCCCUAUAAACCUGAGGGCUGUGUUGUUAGGAGCCUGGUGCUCCUGGUAGGAUCUUCAAUGGCAAAGUGGUCUCAGGCGAGGGGCUAGACUAAGAAUGGUU